AUGUGUUAUGGGAAGGAGGUAACAGAUCACUUUGGUAAAGGUUUAUUUUAUCAUGUAGUUUCUUCGUUAAAGUCUAAUGCAUUUGUUUAACAGAAAUAUAAAUAUUGAUGCUGAACACUCUUUGCUGGUUUAAUACCACAAACAUUAGGAUAUACUUUUAUUAUCCUUCACAUAAUGUCUUAAUGAAGACGUGUUUACAUCAUCUGCAUUUGUCAAUCAUGGAUUUCUAAACCAAAUGUCCACAACAAAUAAAGAGCAAGCCGUGGACCAUCUCAUGGUUUAAUCCAGUCUCCAUUACCAACCAGCUCAUAUCAGCACCUUCAUUUUAAAGGGUCAUGAGUUAAAUUCAGCCUGGAGCAAAAGGAUUAUCCUCAUUAGAUGGAUUAUGGCCAUUAAGAAGAAAUGUUGCACAUGCUCGUGCUGAAUUGACCGAUACUGUUGAAUCUACGCCUGUAUGGAGACUGCAUCUUCAAAAUUAAACAUAUCUAAGUGGGUCACAUAAAGAAAAGUUUGGAAAGCUCUGGACUAAAACAUGACUGAUAUCGCUCCUGCAGGUUUCUGCACAUCAGCGUCUCCUGCAUGGAAACUCACACGAAGAGUCCAAUAUCUGCUGUACAAAUUAGAAAUCACCAAAACUACAUCCCUGAUCCAGUCUUAAGGCCAAGACGAAUUCAGACAUGAAUGGAAAAUAUUUUAGCCAAAGGAUUAUGACGUGUCGGUGGAAAAACAAUGGCAUGUCAAGCAGGAGAACAGAGCUUCUGGCCAGCUGUCAGCUUAAAUAAUGUGAGGUCAUCCAAGAAUAAAACAAGAUCAUGCCUACAACAAUCCCAGUGUAUAUACUUGAGAGCACUUUAUCUUCACAAAUUCUUGAUAUAUCCAACAUCCCAGCAAAUUCUUGAUGGCUUUUCAGAUGCAUCAAACUAAAUUGAAGCUCAAAUAAGAAAAAAACAUCAUGGUGCUUCAGUUCUGAUAGGACAACAAAUGAUACAGACAAGUUAGCAGUUAUAUGUUAUUAUGCUUUUUGAUGUCUGUCUUUAAACUUUAGCUAACGUUUGUGCUGCGCUUAAUCUGCUGUUUUUCUCAAACCUUCAACAGUUUUGCCCUCAGGACAUUUGUGCUUUCCUAAAAACAGCACGGGAGGGCUGGGAAACACAAAUGUUUAAACACAAAACAGAGUGAAAGUAAAGAUUAGUGCAGGUCACACAGCAUCACAACAGACACAACAAACAGUUUACAUGAAAAUUACUCUGUGUGAAAUAAAACCUCAGUUCUUCAUGUGGGCUCAUCAGGGUUCGCUGUCAAUAUGAUAUACAUUCAUUAUCACUGCUAUAAGAUCAUAGUACUAUAAAAUAUUACCUACGUGAUCUCAUGAGAAUACAUGUUGUAUUUGUGGUUGUAGUACCACAUGUACAUUUAUUUACAUUUUCCAGAUUUGUACGUUUUUUAUAAAUAUUAAAAUCGCAGGCAUUGGCGUUUCUAAUUCAUAUUAAUGACAUGUUUUCAGUCGUAUUUUCUGACUUAUUUAUUUAAGACAGUUCAUAACUUUCACAGAAUUACAAACAAGACUACACUUUAAAACUUUAAAAUGAAUACCAUCUCUGUAAUCAUUUAACCCUUUUGUAAUAUUUAGUUUGUUUGUGUGACACAUAGGGCUGUCACAAUGAGUAAAUAAUCGCCUCACCGCAAUAGUUUGAACUCAUCGCAGUGAUUUCAGAUCACCGCAAUGAUUGCAUAGCUCUUUAAAAAACACAAGGGGGAGCUGCAGCGCCUGCAUAAACGAGACCAAAUCAGAUGGCGCUCCUUAACUGACCAUUUAAUGCGAUAGCUUAAGCCAUUCAAUACAGUGGAAAAAACAGCAUUUAAAGAAAUGCUGCAAAACUUUGAUAAGCAGUAUGAUCUGCCAGGUAAAACAUACGUUUACAAAACAGCAAUUCCAAAUUUAGGGAAGCCACUACAGACAUUUGGUCCAGUACUAAUAUGACCUUAGUAGAAUUGGCCUCUUUUUGGGGCCUAUUUUGAUUGCAUUUUUAUUUUCAGUUAUUUUUCAAACACUUUAUUGUGUUUAUUUCUUUUGAAGAAUUUUCAGUUUUUGAAAGAUAUAUUCAUUAAAUAAUUACUUUUAAAUAUGUGUUAUGUUUAUUAAUAUUUACUGCCAGGAAUGCAAAAGAUUUAAUUUAAAUAAUCACAACAAUGUGUGAAAAUUAGUUCAUGAACAAACAAACAAAUGUAUAAGAAUUAAAUGUCAAACAAUAAAACAGACAAUUAAUCGCCAUAACCGUCACAAUUUAACCGUCAGCCAAAUUGUAUAACCGUGACAGCCUUAGUGACACACAAAAGGCGUUUUCUCCUAUGCAACAAUAAUUUCACCAAAACACACAACAUAAAUUCACAAAAGAUUUUACUUUUAUUCAUUUGCUGUAAUCCACAUUUUUAAAAUUCAUACGAACAGAUCCAAAUUCAGCCCUUUAUCCAGCGAUCUUGAACCCAGUUCUCAUAAGUGACCGUAAACGACAAAUCUCGCGUUCGUUAUUAAUUCAAUUUUAAAUAUUGCGCCUCAAGAAGCUUUACGACAGUGAUAUCAAACGCUCAUUGGCUCUUGCAUGUUACGUCACACAUUUGCAACAUUGCCGUCUUUCAGUCGAUGCCCCUAGACAGAAGCUGGAUUAACGUUCUGGUGGAUUAAUAACUUUAAUAUUUGUCUGUACUUCAUAAACUCCAGAG
Long non-coding RNA from Misgurnus anguillicaudatus (oriental weatherfish), 2721 nucleotides. RefSeq lists it as uncharacterized. The record is from RefSeq and is a predicted model, not a curated record. Lineage: Eukaryota; Metazoa; Chordata; Actinopteri; Cypriniformes; Cobitidae.